GACGAACGCUGGCGGCGUGCUUAACACAUGCAAGUCGAACGGGAACCUUUAUUUCGGUAAAGGUGAGAGUGGCAAACGGGUGAGUAACACGUAGGCAACCUGCCGACAGGAUGGGGACAACAUUCCGAAAGGAAUGCUAAUACCGAAUGGAGUGCGGAGAUGGCAUCAUCUCCGGAUAAAAGAUGGCCUCUGAAUAUGCUAUCGCCUGUCGAUGGGCCUGCGUCUGAUUAGCCAGUUGGCGGGGUAACGGCCCACCAAAGCGACGAUCAGUAGCCGGUCUGAGAGGAUGAACGGCCACAUUGGGACUGAGACACGGCCCAGACUCCUACGGGAGGCAGCAGUGGGGAAUCUUCCACAAUGGGCGAAAGCCUGAUGGAGCAACGCCGCGUGAGUGAAGAAGGUCUUCGGAUCGUAAAGCUCUGUUGCACGGGACGAAAACCGAGCUUGAGAAUAUUGAGUU
RNAcentral lists this ribosomal RNA (460 nucleotides) under Selenomonas sputigena. RNAcentral's name for it is "bacterial SSU rRNA". It matches the Rfam family "Bacterial small subunit ribosomal RNA", at positions 28 to 471 of the family's 1533-position model. The record is from RNAcentral. Lineage: Bacteria; Bacillati; Bacillota; Negativicutes; Selenomonadales; Selenomonadaceae.